This 387-nucleotide ribosomal RNA is filed under the name Triticum aestivum (bread wheat). Its description in RNAcentral is "partial small subunit ribosomal RNA". Lineage: Eukaryota; Viridiplantae; Streptophyta; Magnoliopsida; Poales; Poaceae. The record is from RNAcentral.
AUGGUAACAAAAAUAAUGGAUGUUUGUUCCAGCAAAAAUCAAAACAGUCAUAGCAAAAAGAAAUUAUGCUUGCAACAACAAAAAGAAAAUAGUUCCAGCAAAAGUACUUGUCGUUCCAGCAAAACUAUGAAUCAUCGUCGCUGGGUCGUAGCAAAAAAAUCGAUGUUUCCAACCAAAAAACUGCUGGUUCCAGCAAUGAUGGAUCGCUGCCGUGGCCGUCGCAACACGGCUAUCGCCGGUUCCAGAGCAUUUGUUUUGCUGGUUGCAACUUCACCUGCCUACGGUUGUAGCUCAAUGAUGGAUCGCCGCCGUGGCCGUCGCAACACGGCUAUCGCCAGUUCCAGCAUUUGUUUUGCUGGUUGCAACUCCACCGGCCUACGGUUGUAG